GUCGUAACAAGGUUUCCGUAGGUGAACCUGCGGAAGGAUCAUUACCACACCGAUCCAAACGAUCAACAUUCCUGUGAACUUGUGUCUGUGUCUUUUUUUCUUGCUUCUCUGUUGGUGUGUUGUGUUGUGUGCAGCAGCAUACACAUACUCACUGAUAGCAGUAGCAACAACAACACAUAAAACGACUUUUAUGAACUUGAUUAUUCUGAAACUGAGAGCGUCUGUCUGUGCCUCUUGUCUUUUCAGUCUGGUGGGUGGGUGGUGGUGUUCUCGCAACAUCAACAGCCGCCAACCAGCAAAGUCAAGCCAGGAGCCAACAGCGCGCCAUUGUAUCAAAAACUGAAAACAACUUUCAGCGAUGGAUAUCUUGGCUCUC
RNAcentral lists this unclassified non-coding RNA (376 nucleotides) under fungal sp. RNAcentral's name for it is "partial internal transcribed spacer region". The stretch from base 1 to 44 matches the Rfam family "Eukaryotic small subunit ribosomal RNA", at positions 1788 to 1831 of the family's 1831-position model. Lineage: Eukaryota; Fungi. The record is from RNAcentral.